RNAcentral lists this ribosomal RNA (383 nucleotides) under uncultured bacterium. RNAcentral's name for it is "bacterial SSU rRNA". It matches the Rfam family "Bacterial small subunit ribosomal RNA", at positions 29 to 414 of the family's 1533-position model. The record is from RNAcentral.
AUUGAACGCUGGCGGCAUGCCUUACACAUGCAAGUCGAACGGCAGCACGGGAGCAAUCCUGGUGGCGAGUGGCGAACGGGUGAGUAAUAUAUCGGAACGUGCCCAGUCGUGGGGAUAACGUAGCGAAAGCUACGCUAAUACCGCAUACGAUCUACGGAUGAAAGCGGGGGAUCGCAAGACCUCGCGCGAUUGGAGCGGCCGAUAUCAGAUUAGGUAGUUGGUGAGGUAAAGGCUCACCAAGCCGACGAUCUGUAGCUGGUCUGAGAGGACGACCAGCCACACUGGGACUGAGACACGGCCCAGACUCCUACGGGAGGCAGCAGUGGGGAAUUUUGGACAAUGGGCGCAAGCCUGAUCCAGCAAUGCCGCGUGCAGGAUGAAGG